GACGAACGCUGGCGGCGUGCUUAACACAUGCAAGUCGAACGGAAAGGCCCUGCUUUUGUGGGGUGCUCGAGUGGCGAACGGGUGAGUAACACGUGAGUAACCUGCCCUUGACUUUGGGAUAACUUCAGGAAACUGGGGCUAAUACCGGAUAGGAGCUCCAGCUGCAUGGUGGGGGUUGGAAAGUUUCGGCGGUUGGGGAUGGACUCGCGGCUUAUCAGCUUGUUGGUGGGGUAGUGGCUUACCAAGGCUUUGACGGGUAGCCGGCCUGAGAGGGUGACCGGCCACAUUGGGACUGAGAUACGGCCCUGACUCCUACGGGAGGCAGCAGUGGGGAAUAUUGCACAAUGGGCGGAAGCCUGAUGCAGCAACGCCGCGUGCGGGAUGACGGCCUUCGGGUUGUAAACCGCUUUCGCCUGUGACGAAGCGUGAGUGACGGUAAUGGGUAAAGAAGCACCGGCUAACUACGUG
This 468-nucleotide ribosomal RNA is filed under the name uncultured bacterium. Its description in RNAcentral is "partial 16S ribosomal RNA". It matches the Rfam family "Bacterial small subunit ribosomal RNA", at positions 28 to 507 of the family's 1533-position model. The record is from RNAcentral.